GGAAGGAUCAUUACUAGAGCAAAGGAUAGACAGCGCCCGCGGAGCUCGCUCCCGGGGCUACCCUACUCCCGUAGGGUUUAGAGUCGUCGGGCCUCUCGGAGAAGCUCGGUCCUGAACUCCACCCUUGAAUAAACUACCUUUGUUGCUUUGGCGGGCCGCCUCGUGCCAGCGGCUUCGGCUGUUGAGUGCCCGCCAGAGGACCCCAACUCUUGUUUUUAGUGAUGUCUGAGUACUAUAUAAUAGUUAAAACUUUCAACAACGGAUCUCUUGGUUCUGGCAUCGAUGAAGAACGCAGCGAAAUGCGAUAAGUAAUGUGAAUUGCAGAAUUCAGUGAAUCAUCGAAUCUUUGAACGCACAUUGCGCCCUCUGGUAUUCCGGGGGGCAUGCCUGUUCGAGCGUCAUUAUAACCACUCAAGCUCUCGCUUGGUAUUGGGGUUCGCGGUUUCGCGGCCCCUAAAAUCAGUGGCGGUGCCUGUCGGCUCUACGCGUAGUAAUACUCCUCGCGAUUGAGUCCGGUAGGUCUACUUGCCAGCAACCCCUAAUUUUUUUUAAGGUUGACCUCGGAUCAGGUAGGGAUACCCGCUGAACUUAAGCAUAUCAAUAAGCGGAGGA
RNAcentral lists this ribosomal RNA (612 nucleotides) under uncultured Ascomycota. RNAcentral's name for it is "eukaryotic LSU rRNA". The stretch from base 248 to 401 matches the Rfam family "5.8S ribosomal RNA". The record is from RNAcentral. Lineage: Eukaryota; Fungi; Ascomycota.